GUUUUUCAUAUCAAGGACUUGUCACUUUUGUUUUGUUCCCAAGUGUGAUUUUCUCGUUUUGAGAGUGGUAUAUAAAGGAGAACCUGCCUGCAUUGGAUUCAUAUUUGCUUAUUCUCCUGCAGUGAGUUAGCAAGUGAUCCUUCAAGAUGAACUUCUUGUUUGCCGUUCUUGUUCUGGUUGCCUUGGCCGUGUGCACUUUUGCACAGUGGCCAUACUACUACAACACCCACGCAGCUGCAUACCCCUAUGCCUACAACUAUGCUGCUUAUAACCCUGCUGGUCUUUACAACCCAGCUCUGUCAUACUACUGGAAGUGAAUAAAUGAAGAAAAUCAGAUUUCUUCUUUCCCGAUGGCAGCAAUUAUUUGACAAAUUGGAAAAAUACUUGGAAAUUUCUUUUUAUUUUCUUUUUCCUGUGUGUCUUCGAACAACCUUAUGUAAAAUCUGAUUCUGUCAUCCUUUAACUGUUAAUAAAUUUUGAAAAUGUGA
Molecule: long non-coding RNA, 488 nt
Organism: Uloborus diversus
Lineage: Eukaryota; Metazoa; Arthropoda; Arachnida; Araneae; Uloboridae
Exons: 3
Source: RefSeq, a predicted model, not a curated record